Unclassified non-coding RNA from Echinops telfairi (small Madagascar hedgehog), 76 nucleotides. It matches the Rfam family "Y RNA". From Rfam's summary of the family: Y RNAs are components of the Ro ribonucleoprotein particle (Ro RNP), in association with Ro60 and La proteins. NCBI's taxonomy places the organism in Eukaryota, Metazoa, Chordata, Mammalia, Afrosoricida, Tenrecidae. The record is from Ensembl.
AUUUGAUCCAAAGUUGUGGGUUCUUGCUAAAUUGUUUAGCAUUUCUCCAGCCCACAACCACACGUGCUAGCUUUGC